This 774-nucleotide ribosomal RNA is filed under the name uncultured Neocallimastigales. Its description in RNAcentral is "partial large subunit ribosomal RNA". It matches the Rfam family "Eukaryotic large subunit ribosomal RNA", at positions 24 to 642 of the family's 3401-position model. The record is from RNAcentral. Lineage: Eukaryota; Fungi; Neocallimastigomycota; Neocallimastigomycetes; Neocallimastigales.
UAUCUCUGUAGAGUCUGCAUAUCAAUAAGCGGAGGAAAAGAAACUAACAAGGAUUCCCCUAGUAACGGCGAGUGAAGCGGGAAGAGCUCAAAUUUGAAAUCUUCAAGGUUUGACCUUGACGAAUUGUAGUUUAAAGAAGUGUUUUCGGUUAGAGGAGUAGUAAAAGUUCUUUGGAAUAGGACAUCAUAGAGGGUGAGAAUCCCGUAUUUGACUAUUCUUUCUAGCUUUGUGAUACACUUUCAAAGAGUCGGAUUGUUUGGGAAUGCAGUCCAAAAUGGGUGGUAAAUUUCAUCUAAAGCUAAAUAUUGGCGAGAGACCGAUAGCGAACAAGUACCGCGAGGGAAAGAUGAAAAGAACUUUGAAAAGAGAGUUAAACAGUACGUGAAAUUGUCAAAAGGGAAGCGUUUGACACCAGUGUUGUUUUUCCGAAAAUCAAUUAAAAAUUGAUUCAUGCCAGGUUGUAUUGACCUUAUCAGCUUGCAAUUUGGUUUUGGGUCUCUUUUUGAUGCACUUUUCGGUUAACAAGUCAACAUCAAUUUCCUUUGCUGUAAAAAGGUAAGAGGAAGGUGGCUUCAAUUUCGGUUGAAGUGUUUAUAGCCUUUUAUCUCUGCAGUCGGGGAGAUUGAGGUCUGCAGCGUAGAUCCUUCGGGGCUAGAUACAUUUAUGCUAAGUUAUAGCUUUUCAUAGACAACUUGUUGACUAUGUUUAGUCAUGUAGCUUACUCGUAAGUGCUAUUUUACCUACGCUUAGGAUGUUGAAGACUCUACAGAGAUA